AUUCCUACGGGAGGCAGCAGUGGGGAAUCUUGGACAAUGGGCGCAAGCCUGAUCCAGCCAUGCCGCGUGAGUGAUGAAGGCCUUAGGGUCGUAAAGCUCUUUCGCCAGGGAUGAUAAUGACAGUACCUGGUAAAGAAACCCCGGCUAACUCCGUGCCAGCAGCCGCGGUAAUACGGAGGGGGUUAGCGUUGUUCGGAAUUACUGGGCGUAAAGCGCGCGUAGGCGGGUUGUUAAGUUAGAGGUGAAAUCCCGGGGCUCAACCCCGGAACUGCCUUUAAUACUGGCAACCUAGAGUUCGAGAGAGGUGAGUGGAAUUCCGAGUGUAGAGGUGAAAUUCGUAGAUAUUCGGAGGAACACCAGUGGCGAAGGCGGCUCACUGGCUCGAUACUGACGCUGAGGUGCGAAAGUGUGGGGAGCAAACAGGAUUAGAUACCCUGGUAGUCCACACCGUAAACGAUGAAUGCCAGUCGUCGGGUAGCAUGCUAUUCGGUGACACACCUAACGGAUUAAGCAUUCCGCCUGGGGAGUACGGUCGCAAGAUUAAAACUCAAAGGAA
RNAcentral lists this ribosomal RNA (556 nucleotides) under uncultured bacterium. RNAcentral's name for it is "bacterial SSU rRNA". It matches the Rfam family "Bacterial small subunit ribosomal RNA", at positions 335 to 909 of the family's 1533-position model. The record is from RNAcentral.